UACGUAGGUGGCAAGCGUUGUCCGGAAUUACUGGGUGUAAAGGGAGCGUAGGCGGGAGAUCAAGUUGGACGUUAAAUUCAUCGGCUCAACCGGUGCAAGCGUUCAAAACUGGUUUUCUUGAGUGGAGUAGAGGUAAGCGGAAUUCCUAGUGUAGCGGUGAAAUGCGUAAAUAUUAGGAGGAACACCAGUGGCGAAGGCGGCUUACUGGGCUUUAACUGACGCUGAGGCUCGAAAGCGUGGGUAGCAAACAGG
Molecule: ribosomal RNA, 252 nt
Filed under: uncultured bacterium
Lineage: Bacteria
Also listed under: 1 other name
Description: partial 16S ribosomal RNA
Rfam family: Bacterial small subunit ribosomal RNA
Source: RNAcentral